UACGUAGGGUGCGAGCGUUGUCCGGAAUUAUUGGGCGUAAAGGGCUCGUAGGCGGUUUGUCGCGUCGGGAGUGAAAUCCACUGGCUUAACUGGUGGCUUGCUUUCGAUACGGGCAGACUGGAGGUAUGCAGGGGGAGAACGGAAUUCCUGGUGUAGCGGUGAAAUGCGCAGAUAUCAGGAGGAACACCGGUGGCGAAGGCGGAAUCUCGUGGGCCAAUUACUGACGCUGGAGGAGCUGAA
This 240-nucleotide ribosomal RNA is filed under the name uncultured bacterium. RNAcentral describes it as "partial 16S ribosomal RNA". It matches the Rfam family "Bacterial small subunit ribosomal RNA", at positions 524 to 758 of the family's 1533-position model. The record is from RNAcentral.